RNAcentral lists this ribosomal RNA (1235 nucleotides) under metagenome. RNAcentral describes it as "bacterial SSU rRNA". It matches the Rfam family "Bacterial small subunit ribosomal RNA", at positions 114 to 1353 of the family's 1533-position model. The record is from RNAcentral.
CACGUGUGCAACCAACCCCGUACCGGGAGAUAACCCGCGGAAACGUGGACUAACACCCCAUAACACCUUUCCCCCGCAUGGGGGAGAGUUUAAAAUCACGAUGGUACGGGACGGGCACGCGCGACAUUAGGUAGUUGGCGGGGUAACGGCCCACCAAGCCGACGAUGUCUAGGGGUUCUGAGAGGAAGGUCCCCCACACUGGAACUGAGACACGGUCCAGACUCCUACGGGAGGCAGCAGUGAGGAAUAUUGGUCAAUGGGCGAGAGCCUGAACCAGCCAAGUCGCGUGAGGGAAGAAUGGUCUAUGGCCUGUAAACCUCUUUUGUCAAGGAAGAAUAAGCGGCACGAGUGCCACCUUGCCAGUACUUGACGAAUAAGCAUCGGCUAACUCCGUGCCAGCAGCCGCGGUAAUACGGGGGAUGCGAGCGUUAUCCGGACUUAUUGGGUUUAAAGGGCGCGUAGGCGGGACGUCAAGUCAGCGGUAAAAGACUGCAGCUAAACUGUAGCACGCCGUUGAAACUGUCGACCUGGAGACGAGACGAGGGAGGUGGAACAAGUGAAGUAGCGGUGAAAUGCAUAGAUAUCACUUGGAACCCCGAUAGCGAAGGCAGCUUCCCAGGCUCGAUCUGACGCUGAUGCGCGAGAGCGUGGGUAGCGAACAGGAUUAGAUACCCUGGUAGUCCACGCCGUAAACGAUGCUCACUGGAUCUUGGCGAUACACGGCCAGGGUUCAAGCGAAAGUAUUAAGUGAGCCACCUGGGGAGUACGUCGGCAACGAUGAAACUCAAAGGAAUUGACGGGGGCCCGCACAAGCGGAGGAACAUGUGGUUUAAUUCGAUGAUACGCGAGGAACCUUACCCGGGUUUAAAUGCAGGUUGCAUGAGGUGGAAACACCUCUUUCCCUCGGGACUACCUGCAAGGUGCUGCAUGGUUGUCGUCAGCUCGUGCCGUGAGGUGUCGGGUUAAGUCCCAUAACGAGCGCAACCCCUAUCGCCAGUUGCCAUCGGUUCAAGCCGGGCACUCUGUCGAGACUGCCACCGUAAGGUGCGAGGAAGGCGGGGAUGACGUCAAAUCAGCACGGCCCUUACACCCGGGGCGACACACGUGUUACAAUGGCCGGUACAGAGGGCAGCCACGGGGCGACCCGGAGCGAAUCUCUAAAGCCGGUCGUAGUUCGGACUGGAGUCUGCAACCCGACUCCACGAAGUUGGAUUCGCUAGUAAUCGCGCAUCAGC